RNAcentral lists this ribosomal RNA (253 nucleotides) under uncultured bacterium. RNAcentral describes it as "partial 16S ribosomal RNA". It matches the Rfam family "Bacterial small subunit ribosomal RNA", at positions 524 to 776 of the family's 1533-position model. The record is from RNAcentral.
UACAGAGGUGGCAAGCGUUGUUCGGAAUUACUGGGCGUAAAGGGCGCGUAGGCGGCCUUCUAAGUCAGACGUGAAAUCCCCCGGCUUAACCUGGGAACUGCGUCUGAUACUGGGAGGCUUGAGUAUGGGAGAGGGAUGUAGAAUUCCAGGUGUAGCGGUGAAAUGCGUAGAUAUCUGGAGGAAUACCGGUGGCGAAGGCGGCAUCCUGGACCAUUACUGACGCUGAGGCGCGAAAGCUAGGGGAGCAAACGGG